UGAUGCUUGGGCGCUGUCGGUUCCGGUGGGGAUCAGCCACUGGAGGCAAGGGGGAAAGUGCAGUGCAAGACUGCCGCUGUCCCGCAGCUGUGAAGCUGUUUUGGGGUUGAACGGAGCUAUCUCGCCAACCACAAAGUAGCCGAGCCAGAACGCCCGCCGAUCGCCGAUCUGCUUU
Molecule: non-coding RNA, 175 nt
Filed under: Phormidium tenue
Lineage: Bacteria; Bacillati; Cyanobacteriota; Cyanophyceae; Oscillatoriales; Oscillatoriaceae
Also listed under: 1 other name
Source: RNAcentral